GAACACAGAAGUUAAGCUCUGUUGUGCCGAAGAUACUUGGUUGGAGACGACCUGGGAAAAUAGGUAGGCGCCGGCU
This 76-nucleotide ribosomal RNA is filed under the name Allofournierella massiliensis. The record is from RNAcentral. Lineage: Bacteria; Bacillati; Bacillota; Clostridia; Eubacteriales; Oscillospiraceae.